RNAcentral lists this ribosomal RNA (496 nucleotides) under uncultured bacterium. RNAcentral describes it as "partial 16S ribosomal RNA". It matches the Rfam family "Bacterial small subunit ribosomal RNA", at positions 29 to 507 of the family's 1533-position model. The record is from RNAcentral.
AUGAACGCUGGCGGCGUGCCUAAUACAUGCAAGUCGAGCGAACGGACGAGAAGCUUGCUUCUCUGAUGUUAGCGGCGGACGGGGGAGUAACACGUGGAUAACCUACCUAUAAGACUGGGAUAACUUCGGGAAACCGGAGCUAAUACCGGAUAAUAUUUUGAACCGCAUGGUUCAAAAGUGAAAGACGGUCUUGCUGUCACUUAUAGAUGGAUCCGCGCUGCAUUAGCUAGUUGGUAAGGUAACGGCUUACCAAGGCAACGAUGCAUAGCCGACCUGAGAGGGUGAUCGGCCACACUGGAACUGAGACACGGUCCAGACUCCUACGGGAGGCAGCAGUAGGGAAUCUUCCGCAAUGGGCGAAAGCCUGACGGAGCAACGCCGCGUGAGUGAUGAAGGUCUUCGGAUCGUAAAACUCUGUUAUUAGGGAAGAACAUAUGUGUAAGUAACUGUGCACAUCUUGACGGUACCUAAUCAGAAAGCCACGGCUAACUACGUG